This 1156-nucleotide ribosomal RNA is filed under the name Lactobacillus sp. RIC12-Oh004. RNAcentral describes it as "bacterial SSU rRNA". It matches the Rfam family "Bacterial small subunit ribosomal RNA", at positions 138 to 1281 of the family's 1533-position model. The record is from RNAcentral. Lineage: Bacteria; Bacillati; Bacillota; Bacilli; Lactobacillales; Lactobacillaceae.
GGGGGAUAACAUUUGGAAACAGAUGCUAAUACCGCAUAAAACCUAACACCGCAUGGUGUAGGGUUGAAAGAUGGUUUCGGCUAUCACUUUAGGAUGGACCCGCGGUGCAUUAGUUAGUUGGUGAGGUAAAGGCUCACCAAGACCGUGAUGCAUAGCCGACCUGAGAGGGUAAUCGGCCACACUGGGACUGAGACACGGCCCAGACUCCUACGGGAGGCAGCAGUAGGGAAUCUUCCACAAUGGACGAAAGUCUGAUGGAGCAACGCCGCGUGAGUGAAGAAGGUUUUCGGAUCGUAAAACUCUGUUGUUGGAGAAGAAUGUAUCUGAUAGUAACUGAUCAGGUAGUGACGGUAUCCAACCAGAAAGCCACGGCUAACUACGUGCCAGCAGCCGCGGUAAUACGUAGGUGGCAAGCGUUGUCCGGAUUUAUUGGGCGUAAAGCGAGCGCAGGCGGUUUCUUAAGUCUGAUGUGAAAGCCUUCGGCUCAACCGAAGAAGUGCAUCGGAAACUGGGAAACUUGAGUGCAGAAGAGGACAGUGGAACUCCAUGUGUAGCGGUGAAAUGCGUAGAUAUAUGGAAGAACACCAGUGGCGAAGGCGGCUGUCUGGUCUGUAACUGACGCUGAGGCUCGAAAGCAUGGGUAGCAAACAGGAUUAGAUACCCUGGUAGUCCAUGCCGUAAACGAUGAGUGCUAGGUGUUGGAGGGUUUCCGCCCUUCAGUGCCGCAGCUAACGCAUUAAGCACUCCGCCUGGGGAGUACGACCGCAAGGUUGAAACUCAAWGGAAUUGACGGGGGCCCGCACAAGCGGUGGAGCAUGUGGUUUAAUUCGAAGCAACGCGAAGAACCUUACCAGGUCUUGACAUCCUUUGACCACUCUAGAGAUAGAGCUUUCCCUUCGGGGACAAAGUGACAGGUGGUGCAUGGUUGUCGUCAGCUCGUGUCGUGAGAUGUUGGGUUAAGUCCCGCAACGAGCGCAACCCUUAUUACUAGUUGCCAGCAUUUAGUUGGGCACUCUAGUGAGACUGCCGGUGACAAACCGGAGGAAGGUGGGGACGACGUCAAAUCAUCAUGCCCCUUAUGACCUGGGCUACACACGUGCUACAAUGGAUGGUACAACGAGUUGCGAGACCGCGAGGUUUAGCUAAUCUCUUAAAA